AUUGAAAGCUGGCGGCAGGCCUAAAACAUGCAAGUCGAACGAGUGGCGGACGGGUGAGGAAUGUCUGGGAAACUGCCUGAUGGAGGGGGAUAACUACUGGAAACGGGAGAUAAUAACGCAUACCAUCGGAUGUGCACAGAUGGGAUUAGCUAGUAGGUGGGGGAAAGGCUAACCUAGGCGACGAACCCUAGCUGGUCUGAGAGGAUGACCAGCCACACUGGAACUGAGACACGGUCCAGACUCCUACGUGAGGCAGCAGUGGGGAAUAUUGCACAAUGUGCGCAAGCCUGAUGCAGCCAUGCCGCGUGUAUGAAGAAGGCCUUCGGAUUGUAAAGUACUUUCAGCGGGGAGGCGUUACCCGCAGAAGAAGCACCGGCUAACUCCGUGCCAGCAGCCGCGGUAAUUC
Molecule: ribosomal RNA, 406 nt
Filed under: uncultured bacterium
Lineage: Bacteria
Description: partial 16S ribosomal RNA
Rfam family: Bacterial small subunit ribosomal RNA
Source: RNAcentral